AGCGAACGCUGGCGGCAGGCCUAACACAUGCAAGUCGAACGAACCUUUCGGGGUUAGUGGCGGACGGGGGAGUAACACGUGGGAACGUGCCUUUAGGUUCGGAAUAACUCAGGGAAACUUGUGCUAAUACCGAAUGUGCCCUUCGGGGGAAAGAUUUAUCGCCUUUAGAGCGGCCCGCGUCUGAUUAGCUAGUUGGUUGAGGUAAUGGCUCACCAAGGCGACGAUCAGUAGCUGGUCUGAGAGGAUGAUCAGCCACAUUGGGACUGAGACACGGCCCAAACUCCUACGGGAAGCAGCAGUGGGGAAUCUUGCGCAAUGGGCGAAAGCCUGACGCAGCCAUGCCGCGUGAAUGAUGAAGGUCUUAGGAUUGUAAAAUUCUUUCACCGGGGACGAUAAUGACGGUACCCGGAGAAGAAGCCCCGGCUAACUUCGUG
RNAcentral lists this ribosomal RNA (434 nucleotides) under uncultured bacterium. RNAcentral's name for it is "partial 16S ribosomal RNA". It matches the Rfam family "Bacterial small subunit ribosomal RNA", at positions 29 to 507 of the family's 1533-position model. The record is from RNAcentral.